This is a non-coding RNA of Nicotiana tabacum (common tobacco), 1189 nucleotides long. NCBI's taxonomy places the organism in Eukaryota, Viridiplantae, Streptophyta, Magnoliopsida, Solanales, Solanaceae. The record is from RefSeq and is a predicted model, not a curated record.
GAUUUGUUGUAUCUAAAAGGAAAAAGACUGCACUAUUACAUAAAGCAAAGAGGUAGUAGAAAGCACUUUAUUGUGCCUUGUGCGCUGUGUGAUUGGUCUCUGUCGGAUAAUAGUAGCUAUAAUCAAUACUACUCUUCGUUCCACUUUCACUUUCCUCUUUCUCUCUGUCAGUAGGAAUUCAAACCGAAAUGGCCUGAAUUCUCCGGCGUACCUUGACGCCGACGUAUCUUCUUCUCUGCCGACUUUCGCUGCCGAUCGUGUUUUUCUAGCAAAAGUCGAUAUGAUCACGAGUUUUUACAAAGCUCAAGCUUCUGCAGAUUCUUGUAGCUCUCCUUUGAACCAAUUAUUAAUAACAAUAUUAAUCCCUCCCAAGCAUCGGAUAAAGGAUGGGAUUAUGAGCCCGAUCCUGCUAAAAGAAAACCAAUUUCAGAAUAUCCUCCUAAUUUACGUGACCGUGUAAGGAGAAAUUAUAUACAAAAUGGAGCUUGUCAACCUCGUGGUUUUGUCUUUCCAAAAAGAGAUUUUGGGGGAAUAAUGCUAUUGUCAACCUCGUAGAGGUUUUUUGUGCUGCUAUUGAUUUGCAACUUUCGGAGCUUAACAAUCGUUUUAGUGAAAUGAAUACUUCCCUGCUUCUUGGUAUGACUAGUUUGAGUCCCGAUGAUUCUUUGUGAAUUAUGAUAAAAACAAGAUUAUGAAACUUGCUACAUAUUAUCCAAAUGAGUUCAUUGCUUCUAAGCUUGAAGAUCUUAGUUAUGAGCUUGACAACUAUAUUGACUAUGUGCGAGAAAUGAACAAUGCAUUCUCUAACUUGAAAGGGCUUGGUGAUCUGUCAAAGACAUUGGUUAAAACAAAUAUUCACAAGACAUGGGGACUUGUUUAUUUGCUUGUGAAGCUGAGUUUGAUAUUACUUGUGGCUACUGCAACGGUUGAAAGAGCUUUUUCUUCAAUGAAGUUUAUUAAAAAUGAUUUUCGAAACAGGAUUGGUGAUGACUUUUUGAAUGAUUGUUUAGUUUGUUUUAUAGAGGAUGAAGUAUUUGAAAGUGUAUCUAAUGAUGCGAUCAUUGAUCGUUUUCAAAACAUGACAACUCGUCGAGUGCAAUUGAAAUGAUAAUGUUUAUAUUCGUAUAUUGUGUUUGUCUUUCGUUACUUUUUAAAUAUAUAUUAAAUAUCGAUACUCAUUCUUUAGUCA